RNAcentral lists this ribosomal RNA (422 nucleotides) under uncultured Pseudomonadota bacterium. Its description in RNAcentral is "bacterial SSU rRNA". It matches the Rfam family "Bacterial small subunit ribosomal RNA", at positions 30 to 502 of the family's 1533-position model. The record is from RNAcentral. Lineage: Bacteria; Pseudomonadati; Pseudomonadota.
CGAACGCUGGCGGCAUGCCUAACACAUGCAAGUCGAACGCUAUUUAUAGAGUGGCGCACGGGUGAGUAACGCGUGGGAACCUGCCUUUUUCUGCGGGAUAACGGUUGGAAACGACCGCUAAUACCGCAUACGCCCUACGGGGGAAAGGUCCGCCGGAGAAAGAGGGGCCCGCGUCUGAUUAGCUAGUUGGUAGGGUAACGGCCUACCAAGGCGACGAUCAGUAGCUGGUCUGAGAGGAUGAUCAGCCACACUGGGACUGAGACACGGCCCAGACUCCUACGGGAGGCAGCAGUGGGGAAUAUUGGACAAUGGGGGCAACCCUGAUCCAGCAAUGCCGCGUGUGUGAUGAAGGCCUUAGGGUUGUAAAGCACUUUCACUGGCGAAGAUGAUGACGGUAACCAGAGAAGAAGCCCCGGCUAACU